UACGGAGGGGGCUAGCGUUGUUCGGAAUUACUGGGCAUAAAGCGCACGUAGGCGGCUUUGUAAGUUAGAGGUGAAAGCCCGGGGCUCAACUCCGGAAUUGCCUUUAAGACUGCAUCGCUAGAAUUGUGGAGAGGUAAGUGGAAUUCCGAGUGUAGAGGUGAAAUUCGUAGAUAUUCGGAAGAACACCAGUGGCGAAGGCGACUUACUGGACACAUAUUGACGCUGAGGUGCGAAAGCGUGGGGAGCAAACAGG
Molecule: ribosomal RNA, 253 nt
Filed under: uncultured bacterium
Lineage: Bacteria
Description: partial 16S ribosomal RNA
Rfam family: Bacterial small subunit ribosomal RNA
Source: RNAcentral